This 921-nucleotide long non-coding RNA is filed under the name Fukomys damarensis (Damara mole-rat). RNAcentral's name for it is "lncRNA (ENSFDAG00000030333.1)". The record is from RNAcentral. Lineage: Eukaryota; Metazoa; Chordata; Mammalia; Rodentia; Bathyergidae.
UGACUUUAUCGCCUUACAGGAUGCCGUGGUGGGACAGGCACACGAUGGAUGUUCCCAUUCCAAAAAGGUUCACAGCUCUCCAGCGAGGCUCUCCUGUCCAGUCCACGAGAUGACUUCGGCACACCAACAAGCAGCAGGACCAGGGUCACAGCAGCCUUUGGACCCUGGGAUGUUUCCCGAAGCCCUUCUAGGGCGGCACUGCAACACUGCGUGGGGAAUUACGGCCAGGAGGAAGAGAGUGUGUGCUUCACAUGGGACUGAGAUAUCCCCAUUGUUCCGAGAAAGGAGAUUCAGAGAAGAAGGUAAAAUCAGUGCCUUUUGCCAAAGCCAAAUUUCCGUCUCAUUGCCGUGUCCCAGAAACUUGAUGCCCAGAGCUGGAUCUUGCAGGCUGGUGUCACACUGCAUCAGCGGUAAAGCAAACAGUUUUAGCGGUCAAAUCCCCUGGACCUGGUAUGGAGACCUGGACCCUCUCUAGGAGGGCCAUGGUGCCCAAGAUUAGAGCUGUGGAGGUCCAGGUAAGCUGGGUACGGCGCCACGCUGACCCUUGAGGUAGCAUCUGGAAGCUUCCCGCAGAUAGCCACACAGUACUCAGCUUCACCCUGUCCUGCCCCUGUCCCCAGCCCUGCCCCCCAGACGCCCCUCACUUCAGUGUCCUGGCCUGUUUGUGAAGCCACAGCCACACACUGGCUCCUCAGUCCUGAAGAGGAAGCAUGACAGGUGUCACCUUCCAGGCACUACCUUGCUACGCCGCUCCCUGGGCUCGGUGAGGCCAGGAGAGCUACAGGAGAAGAAGCCUCAAGAAGCUUCUGCAACCUUAGGCGGAGGCUGGGGGAUUCAGAGCAUAGGCCUCGAAGAUACUUCUGGAACCCUAAGCAGCUGCGGACACAAGGGACGCUAUUGCAAGGUAAACAGAAAGCAGAA